UGACGUCAAGUCCUCACUGGCCUUAUGCCCAGGGCUACACACGUGCUACAAUGGGCGGUACAAAGAGAAGCAACCUCGCAGGGUGAGCAAAUCUCAAAAAGCCGUUCUCAGUUCGGAUUGAAGUCUGCAACUCGACUUCAUGAAGUCGGAAUCGCUAGUAAUCGCGGAUCAGCAUGCCGCGGUGAAUACGUUCCCGGGCCUU
This 202-nucleotide ribosomal RNA is filed under the name uncultured Syntrophaceae bacterium. RNAcentral's name for it is "partial 16S ribosomal RNA". It matches the Rfam family "Bacterial small subunit ribosomal RNA", at positions 1180 to 1382 of the family's 1533-position model. Lineage: Bacteria; Pseudomonadati; Thermodesulfobacteriota; Syntrophia; Syntrophales; Syntrophaceae. The record is from RNAcentral.